CAACUGUAAUUUAUUUUUCUUCAGCAAUUUCUUUCUGUGACUUCUAAUGUUUCAAAAUUGCAAACCCUACAUUUCAUUCACAACCGUUCCUUACACAUCGAUACUCUCUGCUCCACUUCUUUAUGUGUUCAAAGUUGAGUGAUGUUAGAAGAAGACGAUUUCAAUUUGGAGGCUGGUAAGUUGAAACAACGAGCUCCUCGAACUAGAAUCGCGUAUGCGUUAUCCAACCUUCAUGUCUCUAUGAUUAAAAUACUAAUUCAGUCAUAUGAGUCUAUUAGGGCAAUUAUUUAUUUUACUUUAUUACGAUGGUUAUCGAAACACGUAGAUUUGUUAUUUUAUAAGUAUUGAUAUUGGAUCUUUGUGAGUUUCUCAUGUAGUUUAUGAUUUAGGGCUAUUGCUUUUUGUUGUGUUUUUUUAAAACUUGAAGGUUUAAAGACGCACACCAACUGUUUGAUAAAAUGCUUCAACUAAAAUUUCAAGAUGCAAAUUACCAGCCUGUGAGUUUUUGCCAUGGACAUCAUCUGGAAAUAAAAUGCAGCUCCUAAUUCGUUUGAAGCUCCCAAAUACCCUCAGAAGAGGUUGAAGGCUGGUUGUAUUGGUUGCAAGAAAUUGUAUUCCCUAUGAUAAUCGUUAUGUUUCAACUAAUAUAGGCGUUGAGUGUUUAUGAAUUCAAAGUGAUGUGAAUUUGGGAAAGAUGAAUACGAUCUUUGACGAUAGAAUGGGUUUCUUUAGGUAUGUGGUGGUCAUUGAAGCUCCCACAUAUAAAGAAGCGUUUGGAUGCUAUGUGGCUUUAAUGUUAAGAAGGUUUCGCUGACUCUAUGCUCAUGAGUAAAACAUGACUGUAUUUUGCAACAAUAACGGUCUUUAUUAGAGUGCACAUUGUUUUGGUAUUUAAGGGAGAAACAAGGCUUAUGGAGUGCUGCAUCACAUGCAUGGACUUUAUUUCUGAAAUCUUUACUUUUUACUGGUCGUUUUGGGUUGUGUUUUAUCUCAGAUAGAUCAAAUGGGUUAAGCUAAAAAUUGGUUAGCACAAAGGAGAGUCACUCAAGCGGGUUGGAAGUUGUCCAUAGGAUAUAUAUAUAUAAUGCGCUUAAAUCGUUUUC
Long non-coding RNA from Helianthus annuus (common sunflower), 1103 nucleotides. RefSeq lists it as uncharacterized. The transcript has 6 exons. The record is from RefSeq and is a predicted model, not a curated record. NCBI's taxonomy places the organism in Eukaryota, Viridiplantae, Streptophyta, Magnoliopsida, Asterales, Asteraceae.